Molecule: long non-coding RNA, 340 nt
Filed under: Mytilus galloprovincialis (Mediterranean mussel)
Lineage: Eukaryota; Metazoa; Mollusca; Bivalvia; Mytilida; Mytilidae
Source: RNAcentral
AACAUUAGAAUUAUACAAACAGGGUUAAACUUAAGGUUUUUUUAUAUUAUUUUAAAGUCUAUAAAUGCAAUCACUUGUAACCACUGAGCAUGUCUGAAAAGUUCUGUUAUAAGCAUUACAAGUCAGCCCAUUAUUUGCUUUAACAGACAGGGCAAUACUUUAUUUGCUCCAUCGCUGGCUACACAUCUACUUAUCAAGGGAAUCUCAAAUACGCAAUGAUUAUCAAAGCUUUUGCUAUUUGACAAAGCGAGUGUUGUUGCCUCUAUAAUAUAUUGUUUUAUGUUUUUGUAACUUGUACUUUUGUGUUGAGCCCUACAAGUAACAACCUAUCACCCAGCCA